This 1436-nucleotide ribosomal RNA is filed under the name uncultured bacterium. Its description in RNAcentral is "bacterial SSU rRNA". It matches the Rfam family "Bacterial small subunit ribosomal RNA". The record is from RNAcentral.
AGAGUUUGAUCCUGGCUCAGAACGUACGCUGGCGGCACGCCUAACACAUGCAAGUCGAACGCAGUAGCAAUACUGAGUGGCGAACGGGUGAGUAUAAUGUGGGUAUCUGCCUUUUGGUUUGGAAUAACACGAGGAAACUUGUGCUAAUACCGGAUAAGCCCUUACGGGGAAAGUUUUAACGCCAAGAGAUGAGCCCACACUUGAUUAGCUUGUUGGUAAGGUAAAAGCUUACCAAGGCUACGAUCAAUAGCUGAUCUGAGAGGAUGAUCAGCCACAUUGGGACUGAGACACGGCCCAAACUCCUACGGGAGGCAGCAGUGGGGAAUCUUGCACAAUGGGGGAAACCCUGAUGCAGCGAUGCCGCGUGAGUGAAGAAGGCCUUUGGGUUGUAAAGCUCUUUCGUCGGGGAAGAAAAUGACUGUACCCGAAUAAGAAGGUCCGGCUAACUUCGUGCCAGCAGCCGCGGUAAUACGAAGGGACCUAGCGUAGUUCGGAAUUACUGGGCUUAAAGAGCUCGUAGGUGGUUAAGAAAGUUGGUGGUGAAAUCCCAAGGCUUAACCUUGGAACUGCCACCAAAACUUUUUAACUAGAGUAUGAUAGAGGUAAGCGGAAUUUCUAGUGUAGAGGUGAAAUUCGUAGAUAUUAGAAAGAACACCAAUUGCGAAGGCAGCUUUCUGGAUCAUUACUGACACUGAGGAGCGAAAGCAUGGGUAGCGAAGAGGAUUAGAUACCCUCGUAGUCCAUGCCGUAAACGAUGUGUGCUAGACGUUGGAAAUUUUAUUUUCAGUGUCGCAGCAAAAGCGUUAAGCACACCGCCUGGGGAGUACGACCGCAAGGUUAAAACUCAAAUGAAUUGACGGGGACCCGCACAAGUAGUGGAGCAUGUGGUUUAAUUCGAAGAUACGCGCAGAACCUUACCAACACUUGACAUGUUCGUCGCGACUCUAAGAGAUUAGAGUCUUCGGUUCGGCCGGACGAAACACAGGUGCUGCAUGGCUGUCGUCAGCUCGUGUCGUGAGAUGUUGGGUUAAGUCCCGCAACGAGCGCAACCCUUACUUUUAGUUGCCAUCAUUUAGUUGGGAACUCUAAAAGAACUGCCAGUGAUAAGCUGGAGGAAGGUGGGGAUGACGUCAAGUCCUCAUGGCCCUUACGUGUUGGGCUACACACGUGCUACAAUGGCAUUUACAAUAGGAAGCGAGAUGGCGACAUCAAGCAAAUCCUAAAAAAAUGCCUCAGUUCGGAUUGUACUCUGCAACUCGAGUACAUGAAGCUGGAAUUGCUAGUAAUCGCGGAUCAGCGCGCCGCGGUGAAUACGUUCCCGGGUCUUGUACACACCGCCCGUCACACCAUGGAAGUUGGUUCUACCUUAAGGCAAAGUGUAAAAUCUUUGACUACGGUAUAGUCAGCGACUGGGGUGAAGUCGUAACAAGGUAACC